RNAcentral lists this ribosomal RNA (64 nucleotides) under Bartonella quintana. RNAcentral's name for it is "partial 16S ribosomal RNA". The record is from RNAcentral. RNAcentral also lists the same sequence under 3 other names. Lineage: Bacteria; Pseudomonadati; Pseudomonadota; Alphaproteobacteria; Hyphomicrobiales; Bartonellaceae.
GGGUCAGCGACUGGGGUGAAGUCGUAACAAGGUAGCCGUAGGGGAACCUGUGGCUGGAUCACCU